UAGAAGACAGCCACGCCUCUGCUUUUCUUCUUCCUCCUUUCUAAUUCUACAUAAAAAUCCUAAUCUUCCUAGUCGAAUUCAGUCUUGGUUCGCCCAUUUCGGGCAAGUAAUUAACGUUACCUUUGUCUUCUUCUUUGUAAGUCUCUUUCUCUCUUUUGAUUUUCAUUGGGAUUCAAGUACAGAUUUUGAAUUUCAAAUUCGGAUCCCAAACGAAAUUCAAAAGGAUUUCAAAUCCAAAUUUUGCAGUCCGACAUCGUUUUUAAAAUAAAAUACCUAGCAUUUGGGGUUAUAUAUAUAGAACCCUAUUCUUCAUUUUCAGGAAGAACGACUGGAUAUAGAUCCUUGCUCUCUAUUUUUCUUUACAGUUUCUCACUCGAUUUAUCCUACAUGAAAUACGAAAAAAAAACUUUAGUUCGUUAGAGCCCUCAACACGUUCAUUCGAACUCAUUUGGCUAAAGGUUCGGAUCUGUCAAUACGGGUGAGUAGAUUCGAGGCCUCGACGUCCUAGUUCACUGCACCACGAACAGUUCAGCGUCUUGACUCUUGAGCAUGACUCCUAGAGGCAAACCGAAAUGUGCCAUUGGUCUUCCCCUGGUGGAUCUCCUCUUCAUCAGUCAAGCCAACAUUAUCCUCUUCCCUUUCUAAGGUUUCAAUUCCCGGAAUAAACUUGCAAUGUCACUACUGCAACAUGCGGCGUUCUCAUGCUUCUGUUCAUUUUCUUUAGUAGCACCUCGAAUUAAAUUUGCAUCUUUAAAAUCAUUUGGACAAAGUAAGAGGAUAUUCAAUCUUGAAAGAAGAAAUCAAAUGUUACUGUGCAAAUAUGCCACUAUUAGUUCAGGGAUUAGUUAUUUUGAGACUGGACAAAGUUUAUGAGGAAAAUAAACUAAGGAAUUUUACCAAUCACAUCAUGUAUAUCUUGCAUAUACUUGAACAAAAGUUGAUGGCCAUAUGUGUCUGCUUUGAACAGUUUUUGAGUGCACUACGGUCUUCUUUUGCUAACAUGGUUGAUGGCAUACUAUGUCAAAAAAAGAUACUGUUGGAGUUUAUUCCCUUUUUUAAUUUCUGUCGUAUGUUUCACUUCUAAAUUCUUUCUACCCAACUGGUUAAACACAAUCAUGUAAAUUCUGGGGCAUUCAUAUCCGCUGGAUUCCAUAGAUAGAAUGAGCUAAAAAAGGUUCAGAAAUUUAAUUAGCAUGCUGCGUUAGAAGAAGUUAUUGGUGUAUUCACUCAGUUAACCGCUAUAAACUGUGCAUUGAGCAAUGACUGAAAGAAAAUGCUCAUUUAGGCUUUGUAGUUUUCCACUUUCACUUUACUUCAAGAGUAGCUUCUCCCAAAGUCAGUGUUGAAUUUUAUAGAAACAAUUUAAUGCUAAAUAAAAGGUUUUUUCUUUUUCCAUCUUUUUCUAUUUUGACAAGUCCACAAUAAAAUAGCAUCUGAUGAAACAAUUGCAAAUACUUUUUUUUGCAAGUAUGGAAAAUGGCCUUAAUUGAUGGUGAUAUCAUAUGUUUACAGUUAGUUUGGUAGAGUAGUUGUUAGCUUGAUUUGAUCCUAUUAGAUGAAUUCUCCUCUACCAACACAUGCCAUCUUGACCAUAUAACUGCUAAGGUCUUCAUAUAUAUGAAAAUCAUGGUAUGGUUUACUGCUUGGUUCUUUAAUACCUUUUGACAGUAAGAUUUCUCUCUAAUUCCGUCAUUCUUUCUUUGUUUGACAUGUACACCGGAGCCGAAGAGUUUCACUUUGAGACUCAACGACGCCGCUUAUGGAGUCCGCACAUCAUUCACUAUCUUCUCUCUUACUCUCUUGAGCGGAAAAUUGCAGAGCAUUGUCAUCUUGCGAAAGCCAAAAUGGCGUUUAUCAUUUACAUCACUUGGCCUACUCAUUACAGUGUUUAAAAUUUCCUCUGGGACUAAUCCUUUAUUCUGUUUUGUGAUUGAUUGUUAAGAUCUACGCUAAUUUAUAAUUUAUAAUUAAUUUUCCUUCAA
This is a long non-coding RNA of Lycium barbarum (goji berry), 1982 nucleotides long. RefSeq lists it as uncharacterized. The record is from RefSeq and is a predicted model, not a curated record. The transcript has 2 exons. NCBI's taxonomy places the organism in Eukaryota, Viridiplantae, Streptophyta, Magnoliopsida, Solanales, Solanaceae.